This 886-nucleotide long non-coding RNA is filed under the name Oryza sativa Indica Group (long-grained rice). RNAcentral's name for it is "lncRNA OsZS97_06G001340". Lineage: Eukaryota; Viridiplantae; Streptophyta; Magnoliopsida; Poales; Poaceae. The record is from RNAcentral.
ACUGUGUCGGUCACCAGCCGCCACGGAGUUCCUAAAUUUUUUUCCCCAAGCUCUCGCGCCGCUCUCACGCGAGCGGCUCGGGAGCGAAACCCUAGCCGCCCGCGCCGCCCCCUCCCAACGCCUCCAGCCACCUCGCCGCCGCCGGAGCCCGCCGCCGGAAACCGUGCGGCCGGCCGGGAAGGCGGCGGCGGGGAAAACGUGCCGGCGGCGGAGCACCCCCUCGGCGUGGGAGGCGGCGCGACGCACGCACGGCGGAAGGCGGCGGCCGGAGCGGCCGGCGGGGCGGAUCCGGUCGGCGGAUCCGGUCGCGCCGGACGCGGAUCCGGCCUCCCCGAUGGAGGAUCUGGCCCCCCGCCGGCCAGAUCUGGAGAGGGGCGGCGGCGGCGCGGCAAGACGGCGGGCGGCCUCGAGCUCGCGGCGACGGCGAUGCGGCAAGUCGGCGGGCGGCCCGAGCUCGCGGCGACGGCGGGCGGCCUCGAGCUCUCGACGACGGCGGCGCGGCAAGACGGCGGGCGACCUCCAGCGGGGGCGCGACUCGGCGGAACAGCUCGCGGCGGCGGCGGCAACGCGGCUCGGAGGAGCAGCCCGGCCGGCACGCAGCGGAGGCUGACCGGCCAGACGGCUGCUGGUGACGGCGGCGACAAUCGUGCCCGCCGUGGUGCUCGUGGCAGUUGGCAGCGUCGUCGGCUGGCAACGGUGGCGUCGAGUUGGCUGCUUGGUGGCGGAGGACGACGGCGCAACGGUUUGCGGAGGCGGAGGCUGGCAUCGAUGGCAGUGGCGACGGCGGCCGUGGCUGUGGACGGUGGCGACGUCGGCGGAUGCGGGUUGCUAGCGAGGUGGCUGGGCGUUCGGCAGCAGCGGCUGCGGUGGCGGUGACCGUGUCUGC